CCCUACGGGGGGCAGCAGUCGGGAAUAUUGCACAAUGGAGGAAACUCUGAUGCAGUGACACCGCGUAUAGGAAGAAGGUUUUCGGAUUGUAAACUAUUUUAGACAGGGAAGAAAAAAGACAGUACCUGUAGAAUAAGCUCCGGCUAACUACGUGCCAGCAGCCGCGGUAAUACGUAGGGAGCAAGCGUUAUCCGGAAUUAUUGGGUGUAAAGGGUGCGUAGACGGGACAGCAAGUUAGAUGUGAAAACCAUGGGCUCAACAUGUGGCCUGCAUUUGAAACUGUUUUUCUUGAGUACUGG
This 299-nucleotide ribosomal RNA is filed under the name uncultured bacterium. RNAcentral's name for it is "partial 16S ribosomal RNA". It matches the Rfam family "Bacterial small subunit ribosomal RNA", at positions 337 to 652 of the family's 1533-position model. The record is from RNAcentral.